RNAcentral lists this long non-coding RNA (334 nucleotides) under Mustela putorius furo (domestic ferret). Its description in RNAcentral is "lncRNA (ENSMPUG00000024500.1)". Lineage: Eukaryota; Metazoa; Chordata; Mammalia; Carnivora; Mustelidae. The record is from RNAcentral.
ACAGCCAGAGAAAGCCAAGAAGACAACAACAUCUGCGCCUCUUACAGCCGCCUCACAGAAACUCAGCCUCACAGGCUUACACAUGCCUAAGAAGUUAUGCACUUGGAGAGGUUUCAAAUGCAUGGGACCCAUGGGUUACCGAGAGAAGACCAGCAGGGUUACAAUAAACAGGAUAUAUGAUCUUGGAAGACCUAAUUUUAUUAGAUUGAUGUGUCCUUAAAGGCAAGGAGCUUCUCCCAUGUUUACGACUAUGGUAUCUCCAGCAUAUAGAACAGUUCCAGGCACCCAGUAGGUUCUCAAAUAAGUGUUUGUUAAAUGAAUGGAUGGAUGCUUG